CCGUCUUUCAAAAGAUUUGUCCUCGAAUUUAGACCUUCAUCAUAAGGGAAAAGAUUAGUGAUUACAGUAGGAAACACAUAUACCUCCUUGGCAUGUUCGCUUUAUUGUUGAUGCAUGUCAUGACUUGAUUCACAAUUCCUCUGGGAUUUGGAUCAAAUCUCUAUAGUCCACUUGCCAUGGAAAUUAGCUGUAAGAGAAAAAUAGUAUUACUAUGCAAAGGGUGGUUAAGGUCAAAAUGAAUCUCCCUGUAAGUAAGUACACUCGAACUUCCCUUUUCAUAAGAGAUAUUUCUUAAUAUUUUGUCCCUGUCAUCAGGACACUCCUUUAUUUUCUCUCUCUAUUUUUUCUUUAAUGAACCAUCUCUAGCUAUCUACUUAGCAUUUUUUAUGCUCAAUGGACCAUUGACUUUCUCUGUGGCCUUUUUUCUCUCUUCUACCUUUCUCGAGUAUUC
This 451-nucleotide long non-coding RNA is filed under the name Carica papaya (papaya). RNAcentral's name for it is "long non-coding RNA (CPAP_LNC010997)". The record is from RNAcentral. Lineage: Eukaryota; Viridiplantae; Streptophyta; Magnoliopsida; Brassicales; Caricaceae.